UACGAAGGGGGGCUAGCGUUGCUCGGAAUGACUGGGCGUAAAGGGCGCGUAGGCGGAUGGCACAGUCAGAUGUGAAAUUCCCGGGCUUAACCUGGGGGCUGCAUUUGAUACGUGUUGUCUAGAGUGAGGAAGAGGGGUUGUGGAAUUCCCCAGUGUAGAGGUGAAAUUCGUAGAUAUUGGGAAGAACACCGGUGGCGAAGGCGGCAACCCUGGUCCUUGACUGACGCUGAGGCGCGAAAGCGUGGGGAGCAAACAGG
RNAcentral lists this ribosomal RNA (257 nucleotides) under uncultured bacterium. RNAcentral describes it as "partial 16S ribosomal RNA". It matches the Rfam family "Bacterial small subunit ribosomal RNA", at positions 524 to 776 of the family's 1533-position model. The record is from RNAcentral.